Molecule: ribosomal RNA, 425 nt
Filed under: uncultured bacterium
Lineage: Bacteria
Description: bacterial SSU rRNA
Rfam family: Bacterial small subunit ribosomal RNA
Source: RNAcentral
GGGGAAUUUUGCGCAAUGGGGGAAACCCUGACGCAGCAACGCCGCGUGAGUGAUGAAGGCCUUCGGGUCGUAAAGCUCUGUCAGAGGGAAAGAAAUGUGGGCAGUUAAUACCUGUUCCACUUGACGGUACCCUCAGAGGAAGCACCGGCUAACUCCGUGCCAGCAGCCGCGGUAAUACGGAGGGUGCGAGCGUUGUUCGGAAUUAUUGGGCGUAAAGCGCGUGUAGGCGGUUUGCUCAGUCUGAUGUGAAAGCCCUGGGCUCAACCUGGGAAGUGCAUUGGAUACUGGCAGACUUGAGUACGGGAGAGGGUAGUGGAAUUCCCAGUGUAGGAGUGAAAUCCGUAGAUAUUGGGAGGAACACCGGUGGCGAAGGCGGCUGCCUGGACCGAUACUGACGCUGAGACGCGAAAGCGUGGGGAGCAAAC